AUGCUGGGAAAGAUUGAAGGUGGGAGGAAAAGGGGACGACAGAGGAUGAGAUGGAUGGAUGGCAUCACUGACUCAACGGACUUGCGUUUGAGCAAGCUCCAGGAGCUGAUGGACAGGGAGGCCUGGCAUGCUGCAGUCCAUGGGGUCACAGAGUCAGACAUGAGUGAGCGACUAACUGAACUGAACCUGUUCAUUGCACCCAGGACGGCAGGUGGGAGGCGUGUCCUCUCCGGCGGCCCCUCUGGCAUUUGGAUUGACUUCAGCUCAGGCGCGUUCGGCCGCCUCACCCACGCUGGAAACACAGCAUGUUCCCAGAGUGUCCUUUCCUCAGAAGCUGGCUCAGUGGGUCAGGUCACUGGCUGUGCAUUUAGUGAAAACCUGGGCUCGCCCUGCGGGGCUCCUGGGGCCAGCUGGUGGGGAGCCUGUCCUGUGGCUCCCCUGGGCUGCGUCCCCACUCGCUGUGCUGCUCUCAUCAUGGGGCGUCCACAGCAUGGCGGUCGGACCACGGCCACGCAGUCCUCAGUGCCCACAACGGGGCGCCCCCGGGACGAGGCUGGAGAAGGGUGCACAGGCUGGGCGGGUGGGGGCGUCGGGCUGAGAGCCCCGCAGGUCACAAGGGUCCUCAAGCCCCUGACCCGGGGACGCAGCUGGGGUGCCCUGCAAGGGCCAGCAGACAACCCGGGGGCGUGCAGGGUCUGGAGCAUCCCAGGACGGCGGGAUUCAGGGGUUCUGGUGUGGGUUGGGCUGGUGGGGGGGUGCCGACCGCCCUGCCGCGGGGGUCCUGCUACCGCGCCUGGCCUCCUGACCGGCCAGGAGCCCAGCUUGGGAGGGAGGCAGGGCUGCCCACCAGGUCAGUGGGCGCGGGGCCAGGAGGGGGCCCUGAAGCCCCGCAGCCAGUCCCCCUGCCCUCCCAGCUCAGACCCCAGGAGGUGUCGGACGGUUCUCACCCAGGCGGCCUGGGAGCGCAAGGCUGACCGCGGGCACCUGACCCCCACAGCCAGGCCCUGGAGCCUGCUGCCCUCAAGUUCCCAUGGCCCUCCGGCACCCCAGGCUGGGCCCACCUGCACCCACCUGUCCUCCUUGGAGGAACGGCCGUCCCCACCUGCGUCGGCUUGAGCCACGGAAACGCAGGAUGGUCGUUAUGGCCACCCGGCCCGAAGGCAGGUGCUAUGGGGCCGCCACGGGGCGGAGCCCCCGACACCCAGGGGAGGUCCUCCCACAGCCUGGGACUCCAGACCUAUUGCCCGCCCCCCACCAUGCUCUCUAGGUACCUGGACCUGAGGAAAGGGGUGGGGGCCACGAACCACCAUCACCCCACCCCCCAGGGAUGCCUGCUGCCACCUGCCCUGGGCCCUGAGCCCCAGGCCCCUGACACAGACACGCCCUGGAGGACAGACCCCCACGGGCUGGACACACCCGUGUGCCGCCUGCGGGCCCCUGGUUCCAGGGCAGCUGGUGGGCAGAGGCAGGCCCCUCCCGCCCCAACCUCUUCCCAGGAAGAACAACAAACCACCCUCAGCCCCCUGCGGGGGUGGGCCCUGGGGCACCGUGGGACCUGCAGGCUCCUUACCUGAACUGAGGUCCCCUCCAGGCCCAGGGGGCUGUGGGUGGGCUUGGGGGUGGCAGGGGCCUGGGCAGCAGGCCGGCACAGCUGGGCAACCGUCUCGUGGACUCUGGGGAAAGUGGUAUGGGCAGUUCCUCCUCUAAAGUGGGGGCCACACUCCUUAGUCCUGAGUGUGCGUUUCCCCUGCAUUCCCGGUAGCCAGAGCGGGUGUCGCUCUGGGAGGCCCUGGCGGAUGCGAGGGGCGGCCGGGGACCCCACGCUGUGGUCGUCUCCCAGUCGAGGCGAGCGGGGGCCACACUGGGGCAGGAAGCUGCCGGAGGCCAGGCCUACUGGGGACCCGGCUUCACGGGCCCGGCCCCAUCUCUGCCCCAGGAGAACCGCAUCCUCCGGGCUGGGGGGCAGCACGGUCCACCGGUGUUUGCUGCAGCCGGGGUCUGGGCUGGGGCUGGGACACGGCAAAGCUCCCCGGAGCUGCGGGAAGGCACGAGCCUCGGGCCGGGCUCCACCCACCCCCAGGAAGGGCCCCCAACUCGCGGUCUAGGCGGGUCCGCGCAGCCCCUCGAGAGCGCCGGCGGCGUGGUCGUCACGCACGGGCGUGCGCACGUGUACGUCGCAGGGCGGGGCCAGACGCCCAGGCCUCAGAGUCCCGCCCCCCGCCCUCCGCCCCCGAGGACCCCAGUCCGAGCGGGGCCUCCACCGUUGCUCCGUCCCUGCUGGGGACCCAGACGGCACCCCGGGAGUGGACGCGGGCCUGGUGUCGGGGGAAGGAGAACCCCCCAGACCCACCCUGGCCGCCGGGCUGAGCCUGGGCCUCAGGGAUACGGCAACAGCCCCUGCCCCACGGCCCCCUCUCUCUGCGAGGACCCCAAGGGUCCAGCACCCAGACCUGAGUUGAGGCAGGCACGUCACCCCUUGAGCUCCUGCCCGGCACUCCGGUGGGACCCCAGGCCGCCCCCGCCGUGGGGUCGGGCCUGGUGGGAUCGCUGCCUGCGAGGACGAAAGUGGGCCCUGCUAGGUGCCUGGCUGGUGGAGUCAGCCCUCCCCAGGGGAGACGCAGAUCUCAGAGACAAGGGGGACUUGGG
This 2646-nucleotide long non-coding RNA is filed under the name Bos grunniens (domestic yak). RNAcentral describes it as "lncRNA (ENSBGRG00000019466.1)". Lineage: Eukaryota; Metazoa; Chordata; Mammalia; Artiodactyla; Bovidae. The record is from RNAcentral.